RNAcentral lists this ribosomal RNA (253 nucleotides) under uncultured bacterium. RNAcentral describes it as "partial 16S ribosomal RNA". It matches the Rfam family "Bacterial small subunit ribosomal RNA", at positions 524 to 776 of the family's 1533-position model. The record is from RNAcentral.
UACGUAGGGAGCGAGCGUUGUCCGGAAUCAUUGGGCGUAAAGAGCACGUAGGUGGAUCAAUUAGUCUGCUGUGAAAGUCAAAGGCUCAACCUUUGAAAGCCGGUGGAUACUGUUGAUCUAGAGUACGGAAGAGGCGAGUGGAAUUCCUGGUGUAGCGGUGGAAUGCGCAGAUAUCAGGAGGAACACCAAUAGCGAAGGCAGCUCGCUGGGAUGUAACUGACACUGAGGUGCGAAAGCGUGGGGAGCAAACAGG